Molecule: non-coding RNA, 484 nt
Organism: Hypomesus transpacificus
Lineage: Eukaryota; Metazoa; Chordata; Actinopteri; Osmeriformes; Osmeridae
Source: the annotation of a RefSeq genome assembly
CUACCACCCACUCAUCAGUUAAUGACAACGGAGAACCGUUCAACUGAAUUCAUAAAGCUCAAAUACAUCUAGCUGUCUCAGAAGUCACACAAUGUUCUCAGUCUUCCUGUCUGUGCUUAUUUCCCUGUCCCUCUAUCUUACAGAGGAAGUGCUCUCAGCCCUCAUCAUCCAGCAGACCCCUCAGCAUCUUCUGGUGACGCCUGAACGCCAGCAGACACGGCUCGAUUGUCACCACGGCGACAACAGCUACCCUUACAUGCUGUGGUACCAACAAAGAGAUGGCCAGGGGACCAUGGAGCUGGUUGGGUUGCUACACUAUGAAAACGCAAACCUGGAGAAGAAAUUCCACUCAGGACGCUUCAACAUAACGGGCCACUCUAAGGGCAAGGCCGCCCUGGUCAUCUCCAACAUGGCCGCGGAUGACAAGGCUGUGUAUUUCUGUGCAGCAAGUCAGCACAGUGUUACAUCUCCGUUCCCUCUGUGA